UUUUAUUUAUUUUUAUUUUUAAAGAAAUAAAAAUUAAUAGAAUUAUUUUUAAAGUAUAAUAUUUAGAAAGUUUAUUUAUAGUAACUGAAAAGGAAUUUUUAACUUUUUAAAAUUAAAAAUUAAAAAGUUUAUUAAAGUACCUUUUGCAUUAGGGUUUUUUAAAAAAAUUAAUUUAUAAAUUAAUUUCCCGAAAUUAAAAUGAUCUAUUAAAAUAUAAGUUUUUUGUAAAAUUAUGAAAUUUAAUUUUUUAAUAGAAAUGAAAUUUUUUUCAUAUUUUAAGAUAUCUGGUUAUUAAAAAUGUUGAUUAUACAUCUAAUUAUUAAAAAUAUUUAACUGUAAAAUUUAAAAUAAUUUAGGUUUAUAGGGAUAAGCUUAUAAAAUAAUUUUUAUUAUUUAAUAAAUUAAUUUAUUAAAUAAAGGAAUGAAAUUGUCUUGGUUUUUUAAUAAAAAAUUAAAUCAUAUUAUAGUUUUUAAAAUUUUUUUAAUGAUUUAUUUAAUUUAUAAUAAAUGUAAAUAUUAAAAAAUUAGUAAAAGAUUAAUAUUAUUAAUUAUUUAUAUAAAUUUAAAAUUAUUUAAAAUAAUUAAUUUAAAGGAAUUAAGCAAAAAAUUUUUUUAGUUGACUGUUUAUCAAAAACAUUUCAUUUUGUAUUUAAUUUAAUAAAAUGUAAAACCUGCUCAAUGAAUAUAUUUUAAAUUGCUGUGGUAUUUUGACUAUACGAAGGUAUUGAAAUAAGAUUUUAAAUGAGUGCUAAGAGAAUGGUUUAACAAUUAAAAACUUUCUUUAAAUUAAAAAUUAAAGUUAAUUUUUUUGUGAGGAAGCAAAAAUAAAUAUUAGGGACAAGAAGACCCUAUGAAUUUUAUAUUAAUUAAUAAUAAUAAUUAAAAUUUUAAUUAUUAUUAAUUAUUUUUGUUGGGGUGAUAGAAAAAAAAUAAUUAUCUUUUUAUAAUAAAUUAAUUUUGAUCCGUUCUUAAUGAUAGUAUGAUAAAAAUACUCUAGGGAUAACAGCGUUUUGCGACCUCGAUGUUGGAUUAGGAUACUUUUUUAAUGAAGAAGUUUUAUAAAAGAAGUUUGUUCAACUUUUAAAUUCCUACAUGAUCUGAGUUCAGACCGGCGUAAGCCAGGUUGGUUUCUAUCUUAAUAAUAAUACUAAUUUUUUUAGUACGAAAGGAAUUAAAAAUUUUAAUUUAGUUAAUUAAACUAUAGUUUAUUAAUAUAAA
Molecule: ribosomal RNA, 1218 nt
Filed under: Ixodes rubicundus
Lineage: Eukaryota; Metazoa; Arthropoda; Arachnida; Ixodida; Ixodidae
Description: 16S ribosomal RNA
Source: RNAcentral